This 1010-nucleotide long non-coding RNA is filed under the name Phoenix dactylifera (date palm). Its description in RNAcentral is "long non-coding RNA (PDAC_LNC009604)". The record is from RNAcentral. Lineage: Eukaryota; Viridiplantae; Streptophyta; Magnoliopsida; Arecales; Arecaceae.
UAAAGUUGAAACACAUUUUGGAUGCACUAAUAUAAGAGUUGACAGAACUCUUAAGUUAUCAUAAGUAUUAUGAGUCAUAGGGAUGAAUUAUAUGGUAACCAUAGUCCAAGGGUUCUUGAAUAUUGCUUUGCAAUCAUUUAGCCUAUCCAGACGUCGAAUACCAUUGCUAGAUGGUCAUUUUGAUUAGUACAGAAAGUUAUUCUUGUGCUACUGACUUAGAUUCGAACCGAUAGGGUCACACGCAUAGAAGUUUCUAGGUUGAUCAAAUGGCUGAUCGACGAUUAAGAAUCGUCCAGAGGUACAUUGAUCAAUUCGAUUGACAAAUUACCUGUUGCCCAAGAAAACAACCCAAGAGGGGAGGGUGAAUUGGGUUUUCAGUAAUAAUUGCAAAUUAAAACUUAAUGAGUAACUAAUUAAGAUUAUUGCAGGCAGAUUAAUUAGAUUACUAGUAGUAGUGAGUGGAGAGGAUGGAAGAGACAAUGAACCAAUUACAAACACAAGAGGUUUUAUAGUGGUUUGGAGCUAACCCUUGCUCCUAUGUCCACUCCCCAAGCUUCACUUGGGAGUUCACUAUAAUCCCUAGGAUUACAGCCGGUUGUUUUACAAGUUCACAACUCAACUUGUUUUCACGAGAUCACAACGAACUCGGUCGGUUUUCACAGGCUCACCGACUAGAACCACCCGAUUGUUUUUCCGGGAUCACAAUCGAACCCUUACACCGUUGGUUUUUAACUUCGGCUCACCAACAAACCUUACAACCCUUGAUUCAAUCCCCUGAUUGAAUCAAGUAAGAAAAUAGUUUGGAAAAAGUUACAAGGAAAGCUUCUUAAUAAGCAAAUAUUAAACAAUAUGAAAAGAGAAGAGUUAGAAGCCCUCAAACAGAUUUUGGAAGAGAAAGAAAGGGGCUUCUCGAACUCUGAGUCUCCUCUUUGAAUGCGCUAAAGAUUUGAUAUCAGAAGGAGAGCCUUGAAUGCGAAGGAAAGAGUUUGUUGGAUGGAGUUCAAUGCGCU